CUGGAAACAGCUGACAGCUCCUGGCUUUAGAAUCCUAACAGUCUGCUAAUGUAAAGAUUCCCAGUUUUCCAUCGAGCCCAGCACAGAGGAGGGGAUGGGUGUUUUCCUGCCUGAGUGAGGAAUGCAGACCCCUGUGCCCCCCAGGACAAUGUUUCCCUUGUUCCCCUUCCCAAGGGGGUGGCUGGAAGAUGCUCCGGCCCCAAGGAGAUCAAAGAGCUGCCAGGACAGGCUGGUCAAGCAUUUCCCUUUCAUCUGAAUAUAUUGUUUGUGAUUCUGAGCCAUUCCCAAAGGUGAAGAAGGCUUCUAAUCAUUGCAGGAAGAGCCCUUGGAGAUGACAGCAAGAGAAAAAAAGAAAAUUAAGGAUUGCUUACAAGCACCAGGGAGCAGCAGGUUACAUAUUUGGAGCAAACUGCAUUUGUUGAUUUUACUUAAACAGGUUUCUAACAAAGAGAAAUUAGAAAUUCAGGCAGCAUAAAGGAAACAAUCACUUAACACUGGUACCUUAUAAUGGAACAGGGGCUGCUUUAUUGCCAGGAUAUCUAUUAUAUUGUAAGGUGUGCAUUUUGUAAUGUUUUGCAUUUCUAAGAAUUAACACUGCACUACAAUAAAAAGAACUUAAAUUAUUUUCA
This 629-nucleotide long non-coding RNA is filed under the name Junco hyemalis (dark-eyed junco). Its description in RNAcentral is "lncRNA (ENSJHYG00000003440.1)". Lineage: Eukaryota; Metazoa; Chordata; Aves; Passeriformes; Passerellidae. The record is from RNAcentral.